Thunnus maccoyii (southern bluefin tuna) is the source of this 1094-nucleotide long non-coding RNA. RefSeq lists it as uncharacterized. NCBI's taxonomy places the organism in Eukaryota, Metazoa, Chordata, Actinopteri, Scombriformes, Scombridae. The transcript has 4 exons. The record is from RefSeq and is a predicted model, not a curated record.
ACUUGGAAAAUGAGAAGAGAGGCCUCAGCCAACACACACACGCCCAGCUGCCUUCCGAUCAUCCUUUUAAUAACCUGUAAUAUUGUGGCGGGAGGUUUCUGCCAGGCUGGAUCUGAUUGAUGGGCUCUCCGAUGAGACAUUACAAGAGCAAGAUGAGAUCUGUCGCUUGACACCGGAUUUGGGGGCCAGGGCGACAGCAAAUAUCACAUUAGCUGCCCGGGAGCUGGAGAGAUGAUAUCAGACUGUGUCUCAGCUCUGGACAAACACAAGCACAUAUCAUCCCAUCUCUCAAACACAACCUCAUCCACCUCGACACACACACACACACACACACACACACACACACACAUACAUCACUCCUGGAUCACUCGCACUCAUGUCCACGUCGGAUUAUUCUGCAGCUCCUGACGUGCUGAACGUUGCUGCGGCUCACGGUGUCGACGCAGGAAGGAGUGAGUUGUUUCUCCUUUGAUGCUUUUUCCUCUCAGACUCUCGUCUCAUCGCACCGACAGACUUCAUCCCGCCUUCGCUGCUUUCAACCCGACGUCCUUCUCAACCAAAGCCGCCACGAGAGACGAGAACGCCGACGUUCUGCAGAACAUUUAAAACACACUGCAAGUCUGGUGAAAUCAGCUGAUCAGAGUCUCGACUGAAGAUGAAGAUGAGGAUGAAGAUAAACGUCUCUAAACUCACUCAGAUUCACUUUUAAACUGAUGUUUGAUGUUUUAUAAAUUCAUUCUGUUGUUUUUUUCUUAGCAAAUUUAAUUUUGUUGUUUUUUUUAAUAUUAUUUUUGUUUUGUAAAUUCUAUCUUGUUUGAUAUUUAAUGCUAGAACUUGUUUUGAAAAGUGCUGUAUAAAUGUAUGAAUAGAUGAACUUUAUUGAUAUAAAACCUUUAAUGCAGCUUCACAAUUCAACAGCAGAAACAUCAGUUUAAGACACAGACACAAGGAGGAAAUGAGUGUUAAUAUUAAUAAACUAGUAUUGACACAGUUACACAGUCAUUAAAUAAAGAUUAGAGAAAAUCAUAAAAGAUUCAAACAGACAGUUAUUAGUUUUGCAGGUGUGAUAUUUAAACUGAAAACACUGAAACACG